GAGACGCUAGUCCAACUAAGACAGCU
RNAcentral lists this transfer RNA (26 nucleotides) under Limnonectes doriae (Doria's frog). RNAcentral describes it as "partial tRNA-Arg". Lineage: Eukaryota; Metazoa; Chordata; Amphibia; Anura; Dicroglossidae. The record is from RNAcentral.